CAACACAGUGCACAGCAGGAUUAGAGCAGACGGGCUGGGGGUCCCAAUGCGACAGGAAGGAGAGAGAGAGAAAGAGAGAGAGAGAGAGAGAGACAGAGACAAAGGAAGAAGUAAGAAAAAAAGAACAACAGCUAGAGGAAAAAAAACAGAGAUGUGGAGCACAGAAUGAUUCCAGUGUAACCAGGAAGUACCAACGGAGGUGCGCAGAGGUGUUGAUUACUUCGCUGGCACCUUUCAGCUUUAGCUGCUUUUUUGUGACUACAUUCUAUGCGGUUUGCAUUCAGCUGACGAUCCAAAAUACAAAUCUCUAGUGACAUGCGUCAUCUGCUUAACAGACGCCACAUUUUAAGAGGACACUCCAGUAAAAUUAUAUGGAUAUGGUUUGUGAUUGGUGAUGAGGGGGAGGUGAUAAAAAAAAAAAAAAGGAUUUACGAGUCUCUAGGACCACACCGCAAAGUUACCUCAUUAAACACAAUCGUUUUUUGGCUUUUUCUCCCUUUUUUUUUUUAAACUAAGUGUGUUGCAAAACUGUUCAUACUCCUGGAACUUUUUCCUGUUUACAACCACAAAUUCUGUUGUAGUUCAUUGGUGCUUAAUGGAACAGAAUAACAUGAAGUAGAACAUGAGGGGAAGGAAAUGCUUGUUUGUUUUUUGUUGUCACCUGAAAACUGUGGAAAUCAUUUGCAUCUUUCUCUAAAUCUUUGGAGCUGGAGCUCUCCAGUUACUAACCUGCUGACACUUUUCAGAUUUCUAUUUGCUAAAACAAAAUCAGAUCAUGCAUGUUUUUCCUUUCGCUUCACAGUGACACUUUGUGAUCCCCAUAAACUCCAACAAAAAAAA
This is a long non-coding RNA of Poecilia latipinna (sailfin molly), 840 nucleotides long. RefSeq lists it as uncharacterized. Lineage: Eukaryota; Metazoa; Chordata; Actinopteri; Cyprinodontiformes; Poeciliidae. The transcript is spliced from 2 exons. The record is from RefSeq and is a predicted model, not a curated record.